This 460-nucleotide long non-coding RNA is filed under the name Medicago truncatula (barrel medic). RNAcentral describes it as "lncRNA gene16597". Lineage: Eukaryota; Viridiplantae; Streptophyta; Magnoliopsida; Fabales; Fabaceae. The record is from RNAcentral.
UUUACAUCUAAAUACAUCGCACAAUUAUUCAAUCUUUUAUAUUUAUUUUUUAAAAUAAAGUUUAUGUGAGUUGAAUUUUAAGGGUUUGAUCAUCAUAAGAGUAAAAAAUAGAUGAUACAGAUUUUAUGAUCUUCUGCAAUGUAAAGCAUGACUUUUUGUUUGCUUUGAAUGUAAUGUAACUUUUCUAUGGAUAAGCACUCACCAACCAUCUCCAUAAUUUUCAUAUACAAUGACACUCAAAUCUUACCUAUUCACUUUUGGCCAAGACAAUGCAGAAAACCAAGCCUGUAAGGCUUGGUCCCCAAGCCAUGCAUAAUGUAACAACUACAUAGUCACCAAAGUGAACAUAGUCUAAUAAGUUUUUUCAUGUAACAAAAUGUUCAGAUGUUUUUUGUUUAAUCAUAUAUUUAUUUUUUGGUGAAAAUCAAGACAAUUUGAUUAUUGAUAUAAUGAUUUCAUA